AUUGAACGCUGGCGGCAUGCCUUACACAUGCAAGUCGAACGGCAGCACGGGAGCAAUCCUGGUGGCGAGUGGCGAACGGGUGAGUAAUAUAUCGGAACGUGCCCAGUCGUGGGGGAUAACGUAGCGAAAGCUACGCUAAUACCGCAUACGAUCUAUGGAUGAAAGCGGGGGAUCGCAAGACCUCGCGCGAUUGGAGCGGCCGAUAUCAGAUUAGGUAGUUGGUGAGGUAAAGGCUCACCAAGCCGACGAUCUGUAGCUGGUCUGAGAGGACGACCAGCCACACUGGGACUGAGACACGGACCAGACUCCUACGGGAGGCAGCAGUGGGGAAUUUUGGACAAUGGGCGCAAGCCUGAUCCAGCAAUGCCGCGUGCAGGAUGAAGGCCUUCGGGUUGUAAACUGCUUUUGUGCGGAACGAAACGGCGAGCUCUAAUACAGUUUGCUAAUGACGGUACCGUAAGAAUAAGCACCGGCUAACUACGUGCCAGCAGCCGCGGUAA
RNAcentral lists this ribosomal RNA (500 nucleotides) under uncultured bacterium. RNAcentral's name for it is "partial 16S ribosomal RNA". It matches the Rfam family "Bacterial small subunit ribosomal RNA", at positions 30 to 523 of the family's 1533-position model. The record is from RNAcentral.